Molecule: transfer-messenger RNA, 433 nt
Filed under: Candidatus Moranbacteria bacterium RIFCSPLOWO2_02_FULL_48_19
Lineage: Bacteria; Candidatus Moraniibacteriota
Also listed under: 2 other names
Rfam family: transfer-messenger RNA
About the family: Bacterial tmRNA, also known as 10Sa RNA or SsrA, is named for its dual tRNA and mRNA-like properties. Its role is to liberate the mRNA from a stalled ribosome. To accomplish this part of the tmRNA is used as a reading frame that ends in a translation stop signal.
Source: RNAcentral
GGGGUUGUUUAGACUCGACAGGGCGUACUUUCAAAAUAGGCAAGCCGAUCUUGAGAACAUGAUCGUAAAAAUCGUUCUCACGAUGAUAAAUGCAAACUUCAUCACCAAGGCAAAGAACGCAUUUGCGCAAGCAUUUGCUCCGUCUUUCGCUCUUGCUCUCGCUUAAUUCGUCCUUCGCUCUUCGGAGCUUCGGAACGAUUGGCGCUGAGCCAUCAGAAUCCUGAUUCUCGAUAAAGAACCUCUGGUGUCAUAUCAUCGAGACGACGCGAGGACAUUUCUUUUUCUUUCAGCCUCAAGUUGUAUUGCAAAAGAAAAAAAUGUAAGAGUUUUUUGUCUGCUUUUUACCUCUUUCAUUACACAAAGCACUCUAAGCUUGUAGAAUAUUUUGGGAAAAUGUUUCUGGACAUGGGUGCAAUUCCCAUCAACUCCACUU